RNAcentral lists this ribosomal RNA (485 nucleotides) under uncultured bacterium. RNAcentral's name for it is "partial 16S ribosomal RNA". It matches the Rfam family "Bacterial small subunit ribosomal RNA", at positions 29 to 523 of the family's 1533-position model. The record is from RNAcentral.
AGUGAACGCUGGCGGCGUGCCUAACACAUGCAAGUCGAACGAGAACGGAAUAUAGCUUGCUAUAUUUGUCAGCUAAGUGGCGCACGGGUGAGUAAUGUAUAGAUAACCUGCCCUUAAGAAAGGAAUAACAGUUGGAAACGACUGCUAAUGCCCUAUAUGCCUUUAAUACAUAAGUAUGCAAGGGAAACGCUUUAGUGCUUAAGGAUGGGUCUGUAUGGUAUCAGCUUGUUGGUGAGGUGAUGGCUCACCAAGGCUAUGACGCCUAACUGGUUUGAGAGGGUGAUCAGUCACACUGGAACUGAGACACGGUCCAGACUCCUACGGGAGGCAGCAGUGGGGAAUAUUGCACAAUGGACGAAAGUCUGAUGCAGCAACGCCGCGUGGAGGAUGACACUUUUCGGUGCGUAAACUCCUUUUAUAUAGGAAGAUAAUGACGGUACUAUAUGAAUAAGCACCGGCUAACUCCGUGCCAGCCGCCGCUGUAA